AAUUGCAAGCUACAACUUCAAGCCCCAACUUCACAAUAUGCUUCUGUAGCAGUCGGUCCGCCGGAGAGGCGGAUUGGUCUCGGCUGCGCCGGCUGGUGGUGAAAGCACACGCACCUGGGCUGCGUUAGCUAAUCAGUCUAGGUGCUUACGGGUGUGCUGCUCUCCACAGUUCGGGACCGAGACCGGGAGCUAACACCGAGAGCGCAGCUAUGAUUUUCGCUGUCGUGAUGGAAUGAGAUUACAUAAAACUACUCUCUGAAAGGCCAGAGGAAAAAAGAAGAAGAAAGUAAUUUCCGCUCUUGGCGUGUGAAGCAGGGUGUGCUGUUAGGGGAGCCCAUCCAUCACCAUCAGCGCGUCUGAAUCUUCCUCUUCCUCGCCCGCUCUCUAAACCCCCUCCCUCCCUCCCUCCCCCCGGUCACGCUCCAACGCCCUCAUUAAAUUCCAGUGCCGUUGACCUUACCUCAGUAACCCCCAGCCCUCCUCUCACGGACUCUGGGGUCACCAUGUAGAGCACCCCCGCGCCGACCACGGCUCCCAGGCACUGCGCGGCCAGGUAGAAGAGGGCCUUGGCCAGGCUGAGCUUCCGGGCGCACACCAUGGCGACGGUGACGGCGGGGUUGACGUGGGCGCCGCUGAUGUGCCCGAAGCACUGCACCAUGGUGGCAAUGGUCAGCCCGAAGCACAGGGAGAUGAGCACCAGGUCGGCGGGCGGCGGCUUCUUCCCCUCCUCCUCCGCUUCCUCGCCCGCCGCCGCCGCCGCCCAGCUCACGGUGGAGCCCAGGCUGAGCAGGACGAAGAUGAGCGUCGCCAGGAACUCGCCGGACGCCGCCCGCCAGAAGCCCUGCGUCCAGACGCCCUUGAAUGCCGCCAUCGCGCGGGAGCGGUUGCACGAGCACAGGCGCCGCCUGGACGGAGAGUCUCAAACUUGCCGAUGAAGUCGUAGGUGAUGAAACAGGGGAAGCAGAGCCUGUUGACCGUCUCCCAGUGGAUGUCCAUCCCCCCCGGUCGAUCCGGAUCCAGCAGGUACUGGACGAACUCUCGGAACGUGACCCCC
Anguilla rostrata (American eel) is the source of this 1054-nucleotide long non-coding RNA. RefSeq lists it as uncharacterized. The record is from RefSeq and is a predicted model, not a curated record. NCBI's taxonomy places the organism in Eukaryota, Metazoa, Chordata, Actinopteri, Anguilliformes, Anguillidae. The transcript is spliced from 4 exons.